Molecule: long non-coding RNA, 5290 nt
Filed under: Homo sapiens (human)
Lineage: Eukaryota; Metazoa; Chordata; Mammalia; Primates; Hominidae
Description: non-protein coding lnc-GHSR-3:1
Source: RNAcentral
GUUAAGAGUGUGAUCUGCCUGGUUUUAUUCCCCAGCUCACUAUUCACACUGGUUGCGUGACCUUGAACAAUUCACUUAGCCUUUCUGAACCUUACUUCCUGUUAUUGUCUUCCUAAACAUUUAUUUCCCAAUCUGUGAGUUUACUAUCUCUGCUGAACUGUGUUUGAGAAUGCCCAAUAUUAUUGUAAUCUUUCCCUAAUUAAAACACUAAUUUCUCUUCGUAAAGUUCCUAAAAGUCUGCUAGCAAUUGUUAAUUGCCUCAUCCUCUGUUUCUUCCCUGCUACCAGGGAUCCCCAAGAGCAGGGGCGCCCAAUCCCCAGGCCACGGACCACUAUUGGUUUGUGGCCAGUUAGGAAAUGGGCUGCACAGCAGGAGAUGAACAGUGGGCAAGCGAGCAUUACUGCCUGAGCUCUGCCUCCUGUCAGAUCGGCAGCGGCAUUAGAUUCCUAAUCAGCAGCGAACCCUAUCGUGAAGAGGGAUCUAGGCUGUGUGCUCCUUAUGAGAAUCUAACUAAUGCCUGAUGAUCUGAGGUGGAACAGUUUCAUUCUGAAACAGCCAAGGUAAGGGUGGCUGCUUUGUCAUAGUUGUCUACUCCCCCCAACCCUAGUCCUCUGUGUCUCCCAAAAUUACCUGUCCUGCUUCCCCAAUUUCUAGGAAAUCUUGGAAAGUUAGGUGUGCCAGCUUUCGGGAUGUCCUCAGACAGCUCUAAAUCAAAGGACCAGCCCUUUUUUUUUUUUUUUUUUUUUUUUUCCUGAAAGUCGAUCUUCUCCGUUUCUCUGGCAUUGGCUUUAUUUCAAGAAUUUCUAGUCUGGCCCAGUCAUUGUCUUUAAAAGGAGCAAGUGACCAAAAGAACAAAUUGCUCAAUGACUAAAUUUUCCUGCUAAAAUCUUAACGUAUAUCACUACCAAGAACCAAAACUGAGUUGCUGAUAGAAUUGUUAAAUAAGGGUAGCCACCAUCUUCUCACCUGGCCAUUUCAAAUCACAAGGCCAGCGUUAGUGAACAAUUCUGUCUUGCCAAUUUGAAAUUCAAGUCUUUUCUUUCAAACAUUCCUCUUUGAACUUGUUUUGUUACUUAGCUGUUUUAAGGGCAUCAGGAAUAGAAAGACCGGGGUUUAAUUCUCACAUAAGACAAGCUUCUUAAAUCCCAAUUUUCCUCAAUUUCAUUGAAGUUGAGGUAUCUACCCAAUUAGCUACUUUAUCAAGUUGUUUUUAGGCUUAAAUGGUUUUAAAAAAAAAACCCUAUACACUUAUUGUGUAAAUACAUAAUGCUAUUCUUUUGUUAGCUUAUGUUUUAUUAAAUUCAAUCAACAUUCAUUGUGCAAGAUGUAAGGAAUUGAAAGUCACACAGAAGAUUUUAUAACACAUACAUAAACAACAAACUACUGCAUAAAGCAGCAGCAAUUGUUUCAUUAGAGGCAAGGAACUCUGGAGCUGGACAAUAACAAUUAUCCUUAGAGUGGGUGGGGGAAGAAUAUUCAAAAUUCAGUGACUAGCAAUGAAUGGUACAGAAAGUUGGUGAAUCCAUUCACAGCAGGCAUGAUGACCUAACAUGGUUUCAAAAAGAACUUGAUUUAAAUUCAGGGCUACAGAAAUGCAAGCUUUAAGACUGUCAAAGACAUCAGGUACCAGGAGACAGGCUUGUAAUAUAACCUUCAACUCCAGUUUUUAGAACCCUUGGUUGUUGCUUUGUUCAGUUCAACAAACUUUUGUUGAACCCAACGUAACUGCCAGACCUUGUGCAGGAUGCCAAGGACACAAUGACAUUGAAGAGAACAAGCAUUUCUGUUCUUAAUUAUGGAGAGAAUGGCAUGCGGAAUGAGUAAUGCACAGGUGCACAGAACCAUGUGGGGGACGGGGAGACCCAGCUUUUGGCCUGAGGUUUCUGUGUAUCUCAGCAUGGAGUCAGGCAUAUAGCCCAGACAACUCAAGCAGCAUGAGCAUUUGGUGAAAGUCUGAUCUAGCAACAGAAAUAAUUGAAGAGUUAGGUAGAAGACCUCUGAGAAAAGGUCCAAGAAAUUAUCUUUGGAAAAACAAAAAACAGUGGGUUCCAUACAUCCAGAGUGACGGUGAAGCUGAAUCUCCCAGGGUCUCAGGACUCUGCUCUUCAAGUUAAACUUUAUCACCUUGCCCCAGUUUGAAACAUAAUUUACUUAGGCUACAAAUAAACAACAUUCAGGAUUACCUUAUCAUUUAAACUUAUUUAUUUAUUUUGAGACAGGGUCUCGCUCUGCCAUCCAGGCUGCAGUGCAAUGGCAUGAUCACAGCUCAACGCAGCCUCAACCUCCUGGGGUCAAGCGAUCCUCUCACCACAGCCUGAGUAGCUGAGUAGCUGGGACUACAGGCACCUGCUCAACCUCUGGGAGAAGGCUAUAUGAGAAGGGCUCAAAAUAAAUAUAUGUAUUAUUAUUCAUGUUUUGAAAAAGCCAUUCCAUCAUCUGUGUGGCUCAUCCUAACAUUACAAGACUUUGAGGGCUGUCCUUAACCUCUAGACCCUCCCUCUUCUAUUCAGGAUACAAUCAGAAGGGAACCUUUCACCAAGCUCUCCCAGGGGUCAGAUCACAGAAUGUGACCUGAAAUGUCAGCCAAUUCCCACGAUUUGGAGAGAUAGGACAAAAGGACAAAAAUAAGCAAUUAACAAACAAUCACAAGCAGACAUUUAAGACAAUCAUUAAUUUUCAAAGUAACUGCAUUCUUCAUACUGAAACUAAUACACAGUGCCUGACACAAGAAUUUGAGGCCAGGCACGGUGGCUCACGCAUGUAAUCUCAGCACUAUGGGAGGAUCACUUGAGCCCAGAAGUUCAAGACCAUCCCAGGGAACACAGUGAGACCCCAUCUCUACAAAAAAUUUAAAAAUUAGCCAGGCAUGGUGGCAUGCACCUGUAGUCCCAGCUAUUCAGGAGGCUAAAGCAGGAGGAUUGUUUGAGCCCAGGAGGUUGAGGCUGCAGUGAGCCAUCAUCACACCACUGCACUCCAGCCUGGGUGACAGAGUGAGACCUCAUCUCUUAAAAACAACAACAAUGAAUUUGAAACCUAGAUCCCCCACUCAAAGAAUCUGCAUUCAAGUAAAUCAAAUUUGUUUGAAGCACUGGUUUUCUGGAACUCUCAUUUAUUAUUAGAUUUAAGAAGGCACUACUUUCAUACUCCAAAAAUAGAACAGACUACCUCGUUGCCAUGGUGAUCACCUGUUGAGGUAGGAACACCUUGUCAUAGAAAAUUUGGAAUGAAAAGCAGGUAAUUAGCUAUGAAGGGUGUUGCAGAGGGGGCUGGAGGUGGGAUAAGGUGGCCUCCAGCUAAUUUGUUCUAAGUGGGAAAUCAUUUUUAGCACAUCUUGAAAAAUACGAUUAACAUGACAAUAUUUUGACUGAACAUUUUUACAAAUUUGGGAAUGGAACACAGGAUUUUAUUGCUCUAACCAAUAUUUUAGCCAAGUGGGGCUUGCACACCUAUGCUGAGCUUUCACCUGAUGGGGUAAAUUUAUAUUCUGUGUAGACAUAUAAUAGAAAAGGAACAAAAAUAGGCUUAUAAAACAUUCUAUAGAUAAAACUGUUUGUUACAGGUAAGUUUUCAUUUCCAUCCACAUAGUGCAAACAAAAAAUAUUAGGGCAGAUUUUUCACAUCUGUACUACUGUGAUCCCCUCCCCAGGAAAAACAAUGUCUUCUGGGGAGACCCUUCACACUUCUCCAACGCGGUACAAGGUUCUCACUUACUAUGGUAAUCAUGUGUUUACAUAUCGGCUUUAGAUUUAGGGUUUUCUGUGUGGUUGUCUGUGUAAAUUCUGCUUCUAGAUUUUACUUAAACCCCUUUAAGGGCAGAAUCUACAUCAAAUUCAUUUUCGUAUCUCUAAGAAUAUUCAAAACAUAAAAAGAACUCAAGAAAUUAAAUAUUUGCUAAAUGAAGAACUAUUUGAGGUUCUUCAGCUACACAUACUCUAAAUGGCCCCUUUCUAAGAAUUUGCCUUUCAGCAAUGGGGAGGAGAAUAGUAGGUCCCAGUUGAGAACAAAAAAGAAAACAAGAGGUGAAAAGAAUAUGUAAGCAUUUUGCUGUAAUACCUCCCCCACCACCCGCCCAUCCGCCUACCUACCACGUAUAGGACUAUAAAAUCCUGAGGAAAAAAAGCACUUAAAAGAACAGGCUGGAAAUGUUUCAGGAAACCCCUUUCUCUACUUACUCUCCACUUGUUCAUUCAACAAAGGCCCAAAGGUGACAGGAAGAGAAGCAAGGAGCAGCAGACAUUAGCUCUCUGUAGCUUUUCCCUGGCCAUCAACUAGCUUCUCUAUUACCACUCUGAGAUGACUGAGAGAGACAACGGCAAGGAGACAAGAACCCUGGACUGUCAGACAAAUCCAGGGAAUGCAGCAGAGAAAGCAAAAGCAGCGAGAAAGCAAAAGCAGCAGGGGCCUGGUCAGGGAGCAAAGAUGGAAAUGAGGAGAGCAACUGGGAACCCCUGUGAGAAAGCAUGGCCAGAGAGGAAACUAGGACAUGGGACCGGAUGGACAGCAAAUUGUAUUGGGGGGGGGGGGGUGGCGGGGGGAAGGUCUCCAAAGUCCACAGAGAAUCAGCAAUUUGGCUAAAGCAUGUAUGAAUAAUUGGGAAUUAACUGUAUACACAAAAGAUUUCACCUCAUUUACCACAGCAGCUAGAUAAACAUCAUACUAAAUUAAAUAAGAGGCUAUUCACCCACAACCAAACCGAGACCAUUUGUCUUCAUUCUCUACUAAGAUUUUUAAAGAAAUUUCACCAUGCCUUUGCUGUCGCCCUCCCAAUCUGUAUAAGGCCCCUGUUUGUUUGUCUUGAUGAGGUCGAUUCCACUUCUCAAGACUAGGAACAAUGACAACAAAAAAGGAUCUUUGAAUUAUCCCUCAGAUUUGUAAUUUUGGACACUCUUUACUUUGUCACACUAAAAAUAACCCAGAAAUUGAAAUCUAGGUAAUUGUAGCUAUUCCUACUUUUAAUCUUAGAUAUUCUUUACUUCGCUGUUCCUUACUUGAUCCCUUUUUUCUUCUUUUUAAAUCUAGAAAUUAAGAUCUAGGUAAGUUUUAGUCAUGGGUUAGGUACAGGUACACUUGACGAAAAAUUUCCCACAAGCAACAAACAAGAAAUAGACAAUGCCUAUUUUGAGAGAUGCUUUAGAAAACACAUAUCAAAUUCUAAACCCCUUACGCCAUCAUCUGCUUACUGACAGCAGUAAGAGCUGCUAAAUGAUUUCGGUGUUUGGGUGUCUGAAUGCUGAUAGCAGAGCAUAUGUUUGCAGGUACACAAUAUUUUCUUUUUAUGAGAGGCGAAGGA